GACGAACGCUGGCGGCGUGCUUAACACAUGCAAGUCGAACGCUGAAGCUCAGCUUUUGUUGGGUGGAUGAGUGGCGAACGGGUGAGUAACGCGUGAGUAACCUGCCUCCUUCUUUGGGAUAACGCCCGGAAACGGGUGCUAAUACUGGAUAUUCACUGGUCUUCGCAUGGGGGUUGGUGGAAAGGGUUUUUCUGGUGGGGGAUGGGCUCGCGGCCUAUCAGCUUGUUGGUGGGGUGAUGGCCUACCAAGGCUUUGACGGGUAGCCGGCCUGAGAGGGUGACCGGGCACAUUGGGACUGAGAUACGGCCCAGACUCCUACGGGAGGCAGCAGUGGGGAAUAUGGCGCAAUGGGCGCAAGCGUGAUGCGGCGGCGUCGCGUGAGGGAUGGAGGCCUUCGGGUUGUGAACCUCGUUCGCUCAUGGUCAAGCCGAAACAAUGGUUGUGGUGAGGGUAGUGGGUAAAGAAGCGCCGGCUAACUACGUG
This 483-nucleotide ribosomal RNA is filed under the name uncultured bacterium. RNAcentral describes it as "partial 16S ribosomal RNA". It matches the Rfam family "Bacterial small subunit ribosomal RNA", at positions 28 to 507 of the family's 1533-position model. The record is from RNAcentral.